AUAUCAGUAAGCGGAGGAAAAGAAACCAACCGGGAUCCCCCUAGUAACGGCGAGUGAAGAGGGGUCAGCCCAGCGCUUAAUCACUGUGUCCCCGUGACAAUGUGAGGUGUGGCGUGUGGACGGAUGUAGCUGCUUUGCGACGGCGACCGACUUCCUUUUGGAACGAGGACUCACAGAGGGUUAUAGGCCCGUAGAGUUGCUUGAGCAUCGUGGUAUUGCGUCCGGCCCUGAGUCGAGUUGCUUGGGAACGCAGCUCUAAUUGGGUGGUACACUUCAUCCAAGCUAAAUACGGCCACGAGACCGAUAGCGCACAAGUA
Molecule: ribosomal RNA, 317 nt
Filed under: uncultured eukaryote
Lineage: Eukaryota
Description: partial large subunit ribosomal RNA
Rfam family: Eukaryotic large subunit ribosomal RNA
Source: RNAcentral